Molecule: long non-coding RNA, 2441 nt
Organism: Cyprinus carpio (common carp)
Lineage: Eukaryota; Metazoa; Chordata; Actinopteri; Cypriniformes; Cyprinidae
Exons: 2
Source: RefSeq, a predicted model, not a curated record
GUAUACACACCCGUGCUCUGAUACAGUGGAGAGUGGCUAAUGAAGCCCUCUUCACUGGAAAGAGAAACGCUGCAAUUAAAGGUUUUGAAGUUUUUAUCACAGAGCAGAGGCUAGAGGGCAAAAUGUCUGCUCUUCAGAUAAAAAAAAAAAUGGGAGAACCUUAAACAAAAAUAUAAAGUAAGAUUUUUUUUUAUUAUUAUUGUAGUUCACCCUAAAAUGAGAAUUCUGUCAUGAUUGAAUCAUGCUCAUGUUUGGCCCUGUAAUGCGAUCAUUUAACAAAUCAUAUGUUUUACAAUGUAAUUGGCUGUCUUGAUAGUCUGUUUUCAAAUAUUUGUAGGACCUGUAAUGUCCACAGACUGGGGUGAGCAUCCUGGAAAUGGUAUUCUGCCAUGGAUGAGGCAAUAGGGGGCAGACCCUCCAUCACACCACCCACCCUUAUUGCCUCACCUGGCCCGGAUGUUGCUGUAUUACAAAUAAAUGUAUUUUGUAUCAGAUUCCAGAUGGUUUUUGAAACAAGUGCCGCAUUGUAGAGAAAUGCCCACACACUCCAGACACCGGUAAAAUGUAUUUGUUUUAUUUUUGUGUAUUUAACUUUUAAAUGGAUACAGAAUACAAAGCUUAAAACAAAAUCACAUAAUUUUGGCAUAAAGUACUAUAAUAGAGCUUAAAGCACCACCAAAAGGAAAGGUAUUAAAAACAUUUUUAUUAUAGUGUCAUGAUGAGGAAAGAAAAUUAACUUCAGCAGCUUCAGUAAGGUAAUUUUCACAGGUUUCUUAAAGAUCUAAAGGGACUUUGAUACUAGCAAUGUCAUUUGUAGAGCAUCGCUUUAAAAUAACUCAAUAUAUGUUCCUUUCGAAGCAUGUGUACAAGAUGAGGACUUUACACCUUGGGUAAUUUUGGAUUUGAAGUAAACAAUUUGUAAUUAAGCUCAAGUAUGUGAUAUGUAGUUAGAAUGUUAAAGAUUUGGUAUACAAAUUCACACACACAGCCUAAGGCAGUGUGCCAGUGGUUGGUGGGUGUCACCUCUAGGGACCACUGUAGCUCCGAGAUCCCCUGUCGAUUAGCCUGGGUCUGCAAUAUCCCCAGUUACCAUGUGCAGCCGCGUGGAGGCCCGACAGGAGUCUUGGUGAUGGAGAGGCUUUGUCCAGCGGCAGUGAGCUGUAAGACAGAGGGAUGCACACAGAUAGCCAUGCACCUCUCUAACUACUACUACUGCACUGUACGCAUCACAGCACCCUGUGGGCUGUGCCCACACACACACACACCUAACUAUUUACAUAAUAACUAACAUAACUAACAUAGACAAGCUGGAACACUGUCAAUCUAAGAACAAGAACUGAUUUUAACCUGUGUUAAGUGUCCUACAGGUAAUCGUGCUCAUGAAGAGCAGGCACACAGUUGCCAGGUGCAGACACCGCUGCAGCUAAAUUGUCCCGCACAUGCUCUCCUGCGCUGGCUUCUGUGCUGCAGGGUUCAGGUGGGCCAUCGUCAUCCUCCCGCAACUUCUGGAUCAACUAUGUCCCCAUUACUAAGACAGAGGUUGUGGAGCACCGUGCAGCAUGCUAUGACAUCUGGCACAAAAGCAGGGCUGACUUCCAGUGCCUUGAAAAAAAUGGACCGCCAGCGUGUUUUCAGCAUCCCGAAGGCCCUCUCGACGAUGUUCCGUGCACGAGAAUGCUUCCUGUUGUAUUCUGUACAGGCUCUCUGUAUGGCGUCAUGAGGCAGAUGGGCGCACUCAGGCAAGGAUACCCACCAUCUCCAAGGAUGCAUUUUCCUGCAGGUGGAAACAGGCGGCCAGUGGACACAGGGCUGUUCUUCAGCACCCUGGCAUCGUGCACAGACCCAGGAUACCCCACAAAAAUGUCGAGGAACUUCCCCUGGUGGUCAGUGAUGGCCUGCAGCUGUACAGAAUUAAAGAGCUUCCGAUUAAAGUAGCACUGCACGUCACUUGCUGGUGGUUUGAUGCGGAUGUGACAGCCAUUUAUAGCACCAGCUACUACUCUGAAAGCUGGAGACCCUGCCAGCUGGGCAAAACCUGCUCCCACCGCCUCCAGGUCAUCCGCACUGGGGAAAGCGAUGAGCUGCCUCAAAAUCCCGAUGACUGCCUUGCUCAUUCUGUGCACAAUGUCGUGCACAGUAGACUUCGGGAUGUCAAAGGCGAGUGACACUACCGUGUAUGAUGCUGCAUGGGCCAGCCAGUAAAGGAACACCAGCACCUCAACGUCCUUUUCCAAGCCAUGGUCGCAUUCAAGUUUCACUGCAGCAAUCAAGGAUUGGACGAACUGCCGUGAAAGUCGGAGUUUGGGGCGGAGGUCAGCUCCAUCUUCAAAAUACAGCCGAAGAAUUGGCACAGCAGCAUUCAGGUGGCAGUAGAUUCUAGGGCUCACAAUCUGUAAACAUGUAUAUAGUUUUAUUUUAGAAUACAACUUUAAUUAACAAGA